This 1825-nucleotide ribosomal RNA is filed under the name Escherichia coli. RNAcentral's name for it is "partial 23S ribosomal RNA". It matches the Rfam family "Bacterial large subunit ribosomal RNA", at positions 419 to 2228 of the family's 2925-position model. Lineage: Bacteria; Pseudomonadati; Pseudomonadota; Gammaproteobacteria; Enterobacterales; Enterobacteriaceae. The record is from RNAcentral.
GGGACACGUGGUAUCCUGUCUGAAUAUGGGGGGACCAUCCUCCAAGGCUAAAUACUCCUGACUGACCGAUAGUGAACCAGUACCGUGAGGGAAAGGCGAAAAGAACCCCGGCGAGGGGAGUGAAAAAGAACCUGAAACCGUGUACGUACAAGCAGUGGGAGCACGCUUAGGCGUGUGACUGCGUACCUUUUGUAUAAUGGGUCAGCGACUUAUAUUCUGUAGCAAGGUUAACCGAAUAGGGGAGCCGAAGGGAAACCGAGUCUUAACUGGGCGUUAAGUUGCAGGGUAUAGACCCGAAACCCGGUGAUCUAGCCAUGGGCAGGUUGAAGGUUGGGUAACACUAACUGGAGGACCGAACCGACUAAUGUUGAAAAAUUAGCGGAUGACUUGUGGCUGGGGGUGAAAGGCCAAUCAAACCGGGAGAUAGCUGGUUCUCCCCGAAAGCUAUUUAGGUAGCGCCUCGUGAAUUCAUCUCCGGGGGUAGAGCACUGUUUCGGCAAGGGGGUCAUCCCGACUUACCAACCCGAUGCAAACUGCGAAUACCGGAGAAUGUUAUCACGGGAGACACACGGCGGGUGCUAACGUCCGUCGUGAAGAGGGAAACAACCCAGACCGCCAGCUAAGGUCCCAAAGUCAUGGUUAAGUGGGAAACGAUGUGGGAAGGCCCAGACAGCCAGGAUGUUGGCUUAGAAGCAGCCAUCAUUUAAAGAAAGCGUAAUAGCUCACUGGUCGAGUCGGCCUGCGCGGAAGAUGUAACGGGGCUAAACCAUGCACCGAAGCUGCGGCAGCGACACUAUGUGUUGUUGGGUAGGGGAGCGUUCUGUAAGCCUGUGAAGGUGUGCUGUGAGGCAUGCUGGAGGUAUCAGAAGUGCGAAUGCUGACAUAAGUAACGAUAAAGCGGGUGAAAAGCCCGCUCGCCGGAAGACCAAGGGUUCCUGUCCAACGUUAAUCGGGGCAGGGUGAGUCGACCCCUAAGGCGAGGCCGAAAGGCGUAGUCGAUGGGAAACAGGUUAAUAUUCCUGUACUUGGUGUUACUGCGAAGGGGGGACGGAGAAGGCUAUGUUGGCCGGGCGACGGUUGUCCCGGUUUAAGCGUGUAGGCUGGUUUUCCAGGCAAAUCCGGAAAAUCAAGGCUGAGGCGUGAUGACGAGGCACUACGGUGCUGAAGCAACAAAUGCCCUGCUUCCAGGAAAAGCCUCUAAGCAUCAGGUAACAUCAAAUCGUACCCCAAACCGACACAGGUGGUCAGGUAGAGAAUACCAAGGCGCUUGAGAGAACUCGGGUGAAGGAACUAGGCAAAAUGGUGCCGUAACUUCGGGAGAAGGCACGCUGAUAUGUAGGUGAAGUCCCUCGCGGAUGGAGCUGAAAUCAGUCGAAGAUACCAGCUGGCUGCAACUGUUUAUUAAAAACACAGCACUGUGCAAACACGAAAGUGGACGUAUACGGUGUGACGCCUGCCCGGUGCCGGAAGGUUAAUUGAUGGGGUUAGCCGCAAGGCGAAGCUCUUGAUCGAAGCCCCGGUAAACGGCGGCCGUAACUAUAACGGUCCUAAGGUAGCGAAAUUCCUUGUCGGGUAAGUUCCGACCUGCACGAAUGGCGUAAUGAUGGCCAGGCUGUCUCCACCCGAGACUCAGUGAAAUUGAACUCGCUGUGAAGAUGCAGUGUACCCGCGGCAAGACGGAAAGACCCCGUGAACCUUUACUAUAGCUUGACACUGAACAUUGAGCCUUGAUGUGUAGGAUAGGUGGGAGGCUUAGAAGUGUGGACGCCAGUCUGCAUGGAGCCGACCUUGAAAUACCACCCUUUAAUGUUUGAUGUUCUAACGU